RNAcentral lists this long non-coding RNA (308 nucleotides) under Solanum tuberosum (potato). Its description in RNAcentral is "long non-coding RNA (STUB_LNC004754)". The record is from RNAcentral. Lineage: Eukaryota; Viridiplantae; Streptophyta; Magnoliopsida; Solanales; Solanaceae.
AAUUACUCAUCUCAAUAUAUUAAAACAUGAAUUUAUAAUAUAAUAAUGUAAGAAACAUUCAAAUCCCAUCAAAUUAUACGAUCCCAGUACUCAACUUUCAACAUAGAAUAAGCAGAACCUUAUUUCUCCUAAUGAACCAUUCAUAAUUGCCCCAUUAUGUUGUCAUCAUUACUUAUAGUAAUUUUGCCCACUAUCCUAUUCCAUUCCAGAAUUAACACCACACAUAUGGCAAAUAUAGCAACAACAAUAUUUAAUUGAGAGAUUAGUUAGGUCCUAAAUUAAACCAUGAAUUCGACUGAAUUGAACCA